GGUUAAGCGACUAAGCGUACACGGUGGAUGCCCUGGCAGUCAGAGGCGAUGAAGGACGUGCUAAUCUGCGAUAAGCGCCGGUAAGGUGAUAUGAACCGUUAUAACCGGCGAUUUCCGAAUGGGGAAACCCAGUGUGACUCGUCACACUAUCAUUAACUGAAUCCAUAGGUUAAUGAGGCGAACCGGGGGAACUGAAACAUCUAAGUACCCCGAGGAAAAGAAAUCAACCGAGAUUCCCCCAGUAGCGGCGAGCGAACGGGGAGGAGCCCAGAGCCUGAAUCAGCAUGUGUGUUAGUGGAAGCGUCUGGAAAGGCGCGCGAUACAGGGUGACAGCCCCGUACACAAAAGCGCAUGUGCUGUGAGCUCGAUGAGUAGGGCGGGACACGUGGUAUCCUGUCUGAAUAUGGGGGGACCAUCCUCCAAGGCUAAAUACUCCUGACUGACCGAUAGUGAACCAGUACCGUGAGGGAAAGGCGAAAAGAACCCCGGCGAGGGGAGUGAAAAAGAACCUGAAACCGUGUACGUACAAGCAGUGGGAGCACAGGUUUACCUGUGUGACUGCGUACCUUUUGUAUAAUGGGUCAGCGACUUAUAUUCUGUAGCAAGGUUAACCGAAUAGGGGAGCCGGAGGGAAACCGAGUCUUAACCGGGCGUUAAGUUGCAGGGUAUAGACCCGAAACCCGGUGAUCUAGCCAUGGGCAGGUUGAAGGUUGGGUAACACUAACUGGAGGACCGAACCGACUAAUGUUGAAAAAUUAGCGGAUGACCUGUGGCUGGGGGUGAAAGGCCAAUCAAACCGGGAGAUAGCUGGUUCUCCCCGAAAGCUAUUUAGGUAGCGCCUCGUGAAUUCAUCUCCGGGGGUAGAGCACUGUUUCGGCUAGGGGGCCAUCCCGGCUUACCAACCCGAUGCAAACUGCGAAUACCGGAGAAUGUUAUCACGGGAGACACACGGCGGGUGCUAACGUCCGUCGUGAAGAGGGAAACAACCCAGACCGCCAGCUAAGGUCCCAAAGUCAUGGUUAAGUGGGAAACGAUGUGGGAAGGCCCAGACAGCCAGGAUGUUGGCUUAGAAGCAGCCAUCAUUUAAAGAAAGCGUAAUAGCUCACUGGUCGAGUCGGCCUGCGCGGAAGAUGUAACGGGGCUAAACCAUGCACCGAAGCUGCGGCAGCGAACGUAUCACUUAAAGCGAUUCAGCGGGUUACGAUUGACGGAGCGAAGCGACGUCAAAGCGUAUACAAAGUCGAGUCGGUUUAAGGAUACGUUCGUUGGGUAGGGGAGCGUUCUGUAAGCCUGUGAAGGUGUGUCGUGAGGCAUGCUGGAGGUAUCAGAAGUGCGAAUGCUGACAUAAGUAACGAUAAAGCGGGUGAAAAGCCCGCUCGCCGGAAGACCAAGGGUUCCUGUCCAACGUUAAUCGGGGCAGGGUGAGUCGACCCCUAAGGCGAGGCCGAAAGGCGUAGUCGAUGGGAAACGGGUUAAUAUUCCCGUACUUGGUGUUACUGCGAAGGGGGGACGGAGAAGGCUAUGUUGGCCGGGCGACGGUUGUCCCGGUUUAAGCGUGUAGGUGUGUGUUCCAGGUAAAUCCGGUUCACUUUAACACUGAGGCGUGAUGACGAGGCACUACGGUGCUGAAGCAACAAAUGCCCUGCUUCCAGGAAAAGCCUCUAAGCAUCAGGUAACAUCAAAUCGUACCCCAAACCGACACAGGUGGUCAGGUAGAGAAUACCAAGGCGCUUGAGAGAACUCGGGUGAAGGAACUAGGCAAAAUGGUGCCGUAACUUCGGGAGAAGGCACGCUGACAUGUAGGUGAAGUGAUUUACUCAUGGAGCUGAAGUCAGUCGAAGAUACCAGCUGGCUGCAACUGUUUAUUAAAAACACAGCACUGUGCAAACACGAAAGUGGACGUAUACGGUGUGACGCCUGCCCGGUGCCGGAAGGUUAAUUGAUGGGGUCAGCGCAAGCGAAGCUCCUGAUCGAAGCCCCGGUAAACGGCGGCCGUAACUAUAACGGUCCUAAGGUAGCGAAAUUCCUUGUCGGGUAAGUUCCGACCUGCACGAAUGGCGUAAUGAUGGCCAGGCUGUCUCCACCCGAGACUCAGUGAAAUUGAACUCGCUGUGAAGAUGCAGUGUACCCGCGGCAAGACGGAAAGACCCCGUGAACCUUUACUAUAGCUUGACACUGAACAUUGAGCCUUGAUGUGUAGGAUAGGUGGGAGGCUUUGAAGCGUGGACGCCAGUCUGCGUGGAGCCGACCUUGAAAUACCACCCUUUAAUGUUUGAUGUUCUAACGUGGAUCCGUAAUCCGGGUUGCGGACAGUGUCUGGUGGGUAGUUUGACUGGGGCGGUCUCCUCCUAAAGAGUAACGGAGGAGCACGAAGGUUGGCUAAUCCUGGUCGGACAUCAGGAGGUUAGUGCAAUGGCAUAAGCCAGCUUGACUGCGAGCGUGACGGCGCGAGCAGGUGCGAAAGCAGGUCAUAGUGAUCCGGUGGUUCUGAAUGGAAGGGCCAUCGCUCAACGGAUAAAAGGUACUCCGGGGAUAACAGGCUGAUACCGCCCAAGAGUUCAUAUCGACGGCGGUGUUUGGCACCUCGAUGUCGGCUCAUCACAUCCUGGGGCUGAAGUAGGUCCCAAGGGUAUGGCUGUUCGCCAUUUAAAGUGGUACGCGAGCUGGGUUUAGAACGUCGUGAGACAGUUCGGUCCCUAUCUGCCGUGGGCGCUGGAGAACUGAGGGGGGCUGCUCCUAGUACGAGAGGACCGGAGUGGACGCAUCACUGGUGUUCGGGUUGUCAUGCCAAUGGCACUGCCCGGUAGCUAAAUGCGGAAGAGAUAAGUGCUGAAAGCAUCUAAGCACGAAACUUGCCCCGAGAUGAGUUCUCCCUGAGACUUAGAGUCUCCUGAAGGAACGUUGAAGACGACGACGUUGAUAGGCCGGGUGUGUAAGCGCAGCGAUGCGUUGAGCUAACCGGUACUAAUGAACCGUGAGGCUUAACCUU
RNAcentral lists this ribosomal RNA (2989 nucleotides) under Salmonella enterica subsp. enterica serovar Infantis. RNAcentral's name for it is "23S ribosomal RNA". It matches the Rfam family "Bacterial large subunit ribosomal RNA". The record is from RNAcentral. Lineage: Bacteria; Pseudomonadati; Pseudomonadota; Gammaproteobacteria; Enterobacterales; Enterobacteriaceae.